Molecule: ribosomal RNA, 409 nt
Filed under: uncultured Nitrososphaerota archaeon
Lineage: Archaea; Thermoproteati; Nitrososphaerota
Description: bacterial SSU rRNA
Rfam family: Archaeal small subunit ribosomal RNA
Source: RNAcentral
CUGGCGUCAGCCGCCGCGGUAAUACCAGCACCCCGAGUGGUCGGGACGAUUAUUGGGCCUAAAGCAUCCGUAGCCGGCCUUACAAGUCCUCCGUUAAAUCCAGCUGCUUAACAGAUGGGCUGCGGAGGAUACUAUAAGACUAGGAGGCAGGAGAGGCAAGCGGUACUCAAUGGGUAGGGGUAAAAUCCGUUGAUCCAUUGAAGACCACCAGUGGCGAAGGCGGCUUGCCAGAAUGCGCUCGACGGUGAGGGAUGGAAGCUGGGGGAGCAAACCGGAUUAGAUACCCGGGUAGUCCCAGCUGUAAACGAUGCAGACUCGGUGAUGGACUAGCUUUAUGCUGGUCCAGUGCCGCAGGGAAGCCGUUAAGUCUGCCGCCUGGGUAGUACGGUCGCAAGACUGAAACUUAAAG